UUAAUCCUGUGGUGUGCGUGGAUCUAUUGUUUUUAACCCACGGAGUCAAUAUGGGAGUUCGGGUUUGUUAUUUGGAUGCCAUACCCCCAGGGGAAGGCAGAAUCUAACAAUAGAACACCCACCUGCCAAGAGGCGGGUAUAAAAAUAGUAGAAUGACGGCAUUAUGGGAAUAGU
This 174-nucleotide non-coding RNA is filed under the name Clostridiales bacterium. Its description in RNAcentral is "6S RNA". It matches the Rfam family "6S / SsrS RNA". From Rfam's summary of the family: E. coli 6S RNA was the first non coding RNA to be sequenced, but its function was unknown until recently. It consists of 184 nucleotides that fold into an extended hairpin structure with a large single-stranded internal bulge. The 6S RNA specifically associates with RNA polymerase holoenzyme containing the sigma70 specificity factor. The record is from RNAcentral. Lineage: Bacteria; Bacillati; Bacillota; Clostridia; Eubacteriales.